This 531-nucleotide ribosomal RNA is filed under the name Sulawesidrobia bicolor. RNAcentral's name for it is "partial 16S ribosomal RNA". It matches the Rfam family "Bacterial large subunit ribosomal RNA", at positions 1817 to 2620 of the family's 2925-position model. Lineage: Eukaryota; Metazoa; Mollusca; Gastropoda; Littorinimorpha; Tateidae. The record is from RNAcentral.
CUCUCUUUGAUAUUAUAAAUAAAGAGUUGAGCCUGCCCAGUGAUAAAUAUUUAACGGCCGCGGUACUCUGACCGUGCAAAGGUAGCAUAAUCAUUUGCCUCAUAAUUGGGGGCUAGUAUGAAAGGUUUGACGAGAGCAAUACUGUCUCUUUUUAAUUUUAUAAAAUUUGAUUUUUAGGUGAAGAAGCCUAAAUAAAAUUGAAAGACAAGAAGACCCUAUCGAGCUUUAAAAAAAUUUUAUUAAAUUAAGUGAUAACAAAAAUCAAAUAUAAUAAAAAAUUUUAGUUGGGGCGACUAAGGAACAUAUAAAGCUUCCUAUUUUAAUAUUUAAGCAUUAUUAGCCAUGAUCCAAAAUCUUUGAUUAAAAAAAUUAGUUACCGUAGGGAUAACAGCAUAAUCUUUUUUGAGAGUUCUUAUCGAAAAAUAGGUUUGUGACCUCGAUGUUGGACUAGAAUAUCCUAAUGAUGCAGAAGUCUUUAAGGGUUGGUCUGUUCGACCAUUAAUAUUCUACGUGAUCUGAGUUCAGACCGGA